CCAUCCAUCUCGUUCAUUUUAUCCUUUUUACUUAUUUUUUUUUUUUUUUAAUACUUGGUUCUACAUUUUUGUAUCAUCUUUCAUUAGCCUUAUUUUAUUUUUUUUUUUUUGAGCCAUUUAUGUUUUUGAAUAUAGGCAUAUUCGAACACAAUUAGUGUUGACAAAUAAAUUUAUCAUUAUUUUUUAUUUUUUUGUACUCACAUAUAACAAAAGAUAUAAAUAUAUACAUACGUAUUUGAGCAUAUAGCUUUAAAAAUAAAAGGAGAUAAAUAAAAUGGAUAUACGUACCAAUUUAAAGGCACGAAUAUACUUCUGUUAAUAAUUUUUAACGGAUAUUCUAGCAAUCCAAAAAAAAAAAAAAAAAAAAAAAAAAAAAUUAUGAAGAAUUCGCAUGUAAGUGUUAGCCAAUCCGUUGAUAGCAACAAGAGUUUUCAAAAACAAACAAACAACAAUGAAAGAGUCGAAAUUGGAAUAAAAAAAAAGAAAAGAAAAAUAAACAAUAACAAUGGCAUAAAAACGAAAACGAGAAUGAAAAAGAGAACGAAUAGCAUAGGAACAAAUGGUAUAACAGUAGAAAAAAGAAGUGAUAACCUGAAUACAGAGGGAAACUUAUUUAGUAGUGGUAGUGGUAAAGGUAGUGAUAGUGAUAAAGGUAGUGAUAGUGGUAGUGGUAGUGGUAGGAGUAGUAACAGUGGUAAUAGUAGUGGUAGUGCUAGUGCUAUUGAUAGUGACAGUAAUAGUGGUAGUGAUGAAAACAAUAACAUAUCAGAGAGUGACACUCAUAGCGAAAAAGGAAGUCAUGAAAAUUUUAAUCAUACUACCAACAAUAUAAAUAUAAUUGAAUAUAAUACAAUAAACAGUUUUGUCAAAGAUUCGAAUACCAUUUAUAGUAAAAAAGAAACAAACGAUAAAAGUUACAAUAGGAAUAGCAGUAAUAAUAUACACAACGACAAGCGCAGUGACAUACAGAAUACACAAGACAUACCAAACAUGCAUGAUAUACCCAGCAUGCAAGAUAUGGUUAGUACUAUAAGAAGUGACAAACUAAUAAACUCAUUAAACGAAGAAUCAAGUAUUAAUUUAAACGAUUUGGCCAUAUUAAAAGAUAUAAACAUUGACAGUUUUCAUGGUACAACAGGUAAACUGAUGAAAUUAAAAAUCCGUAAUUUUUUAAAUCAUGAAAAUUUAGAGUUAACAUUUAAUUCAUUUAAAAAUGUGAUAAUUGGUAAAAAUGGGACAGGUAAAAGUGCCAUAGCACAAGCUGUUGCUGUAGCAUUAGGAAGUCAAGGAAAGAAUGCAGGUAGAGACAUAAGCCUUUCUAAUUAUAUAAAAGAUUAUAAUAAAAAUAAAAAGAAUUUAAUUUGUUAUAUAGAAAUAUUUAUUUCAAAUUCAGGAAAACAUGCAUUUAAUAGACAUAUAUAUGGUGAUGUUAUUAUUAUCAAAAGAAUUAUAUCAUCUCAUGCAAGUAAAUUUUUUAUGUAUGGAAUAAAUCAAAUAUUAUGUUCUAAUGCUUUGGGAAAAGCGAUUAAUUUGAACCCUAUUUCGGGUUCAGUUACUCCUAUGCCGAGGAGGAUGGAUAAUCAUACAUUCAGUGUUAGUAAGCAUGUAGGAAGCGUGAGUAAGAAUGUAGGUAGUGCUAGUAAGAAUGUAGGUAGUGUUAGUAAGAAUGUAGGUAGUGUUAGUAAGAAUGUAGGUAGUGUGAAUAAGCAUUACAGUUUGGAUGGGCAGAGAAAUGUAGAUAACUAUACUAGUUAUGACAUGCAAGAAAGUUAUGGCAUGCUGGAAAGUUAUGACCUGCAGGAAAGUUAUGAUAAACAAGCCAGUUAUGAUUUAAGCGUAAGAAGGGAAGAGUCAUUAAAUUACAGUCUUACCGACAUGCAAAUAGAUGAAAGUAAAUAUGUCGAUACAUAUGAACAGUCAUAUGCAUCAAUGGAUAAACGAGAAGGAUAUUAUAACAGCAUAAGUAAAAUGCAGAGUUCAGAUUUUUUGCAUAAUCAUGACAAAGAUAGAUGUGAAGGAGGUGAAAAUAUAUCAGAACAACAUAUACAUAGGAAGACUCGAAGAAGAUCGUUUAUUGA
Molecule: long non-coding RNA, 2078 nt
Organism: Piliocolobus tephrosceles (Ugandan red Colobus)
Lineage: Eukaryota; Metazoa; Chordata; Mammalia; Primates; Cercopithecidae
Source: Ensembl